CGGAAAGACCCCGUGAACCUUUACUAUAGCUUUACACUGAACGUUGAGUUCGUCUGUGUAGGAUAGGUGGGAGGCUGUGAAACCGUGACGCCAGUUGCGGUGGAGCCAUCCUUGAAAUACCACCCUGAUGUGCUUGACGUUCUAACCUGGGCCCGUAAUCCGGGUCGGGGACCGUGUAUGGUGGGUAGUUUGACUGGGGCGGUCUCCUCCCAAAGUGUAACGGAGGAGCUCGAAGGUACGCUCAGCGCGGUCGGACAUCGCGCACUGUGUGCAAAGGCAUAAGCGUGCUUGACUGCAAGAUCGACGGAUCAAGCAGGUAGGAAACUAGGAC
RNAcentral lists this ribosomal RNA (331 nucleotides) under Bacillus cereus. RNAcentral describes it as "bacterial LSU rRNA". It matches the Rfam family "Bacterial large subunit ribosomal RNA", at positions 2081 to 2411 of the family's 2925-position model. Lineage: Bacteria; Bacillati; Bacillota; Bacilli; Caryophanales; Bacillaceae. The record is from RNAcentral.